Molecule: non-coding RNA, 118 nt
Filed under: Nomascus leucogenys (northern white-cheeked gibbon)
Lineage: Eukaryota; Metazoa; Chordata; Mammalia; Primates; Hylobatidae
Source: Rfam by way of RNAcentral
GCCGGGUGUGGUGGCUCACGCCUAUAAUCCCAGCACUUUGGGAGGCCGAGGCGGGUGGAUCACCUGAGGCCAGGAGUUUCCAGACCAGCCUGGCCAACAUGGUGAAACCCCGUCUCUA